GAUGAACGCUGGCGGCGUGCCUAAUACAUGCAAGUCGAGCGAACAGACGAGGAGCUUGCUCCUCUGACGUUAGCGGCGGACGGGUGAGUAACACGUGGAUAACCUACCUAUAAGACUGGGAUAACUUUGGGAAACCGGAGCUAAUACCGGAUAAUAUAUUGAACCGCAUGGUUCAAUAGUGAAAGACGGUUUUGCUGUCACUUAUAGAUGGAUCCGCGCCGCAUUAGCUAGUUGGUAAGGUAACGGCUUACCAAGGCGACGAUGCGUGGCCGACCUGAGAGGGUGAUCGGCCACACUGGAACUGAGACACGGUCCAGACUCCUACGGGAGGCAGCAGUAGGGAAUCUUCCGCAAUGGGCGAAAGCCUGACGGAGCAACGCCGCGUGAGUGAUGAAGGUCUUCGGAUCGUAAAACUCUGUUAUUAGGGAAGAACAAAUGUGUAAGUAACUAUGCACGUCUUGACGGUACCUAAUCAGAAAGCCACGGCUAACUACGUG
RNAcentral lists this ribosomal RNA (497 nucleotides) under uncultured bacterium. RNAcentral's name for it is "partial 16S ribosomal RNA". It matches the Rfam family "Bacterial small subunit ribosomal RNA", at positions 28 to 507 of the family's 1533-position model. The record is from RNAcentral.